RNAcentral lists this ribosomal RNA (440 nucleotides) under uncultured bacterium. RNAcentral describes it as "partial 16S ribosomal RNA". It matches the Rfam family "Bacterial small subunit ribosomal RNA", at positions 338 to 795 of the family's 1533-position model. The record is from RNAcentral.
CCUACGGGAGGCAGCAGUGGGGAAUAUUGCACAAUGGGGGAAACCCUGAUGCAGCGACGCCGCGUGAGUGAAGAAGUAUUUCGGUACGUAAAGCUCUAUCAGCAGGGAAGAAAAUGACGGUACCUGACUAAGAAGCCCCGGCUAACUACGUGCCAGCAGCCGCGGUAAUACGUAGGGGGCAAGCGUUAUCCGGAUUUACUGGGUGUAAAGGGAGCGUAGACGGCAGCGCAAGUCUGGAGUGAAAUCCCAUGGCUUAACCAUGGAACUGCUUUGGAAACUGUGCAGCGAGAGUGCAGGAGAGGUAAGCGGAAGUCCUGGUGUAGCGGUGAAAUGCGUAGAUAUUAGGAGGAACACCAGUGGCGAAGGCGGCUUACUGGACUGUAACUGACGUUGAGGCUCGAAAGCGUGGGGAGCAAACAGGAUUAGAUACCCCUGUAGUC